CCUACGGGCGGCAGCAGUGGGGAAUAUUGGACAAUGGGGGCAACCCUGAUCCAGCCAUGCCGCGUGUGUGAAGAAGGCCCUCGGGUUGUAAAGCACUUUCAGUGAGGAAGAACGCCUGGUGGUUAAUACCCAUCAGGAAAGACAUCACUCACAGAAGAAGCACCGGCCAACUCCGUGCCAGCAGCCGCGGUAAUACGGAGGGUGCGAGCGUUAAUCGGAAUUACUGGGCGUAAAGCGCGCGUAGGUGGCUUGAUAAGCCGGUUGUGAAAGCCCCGGGCUCAACCUGGGAACGGCAUCCGGAACUGUCAAGCUAGAGUGCAGGAGAGGAAGGUAGAAUUCCCGGUGUAGCGGUGAAAUGCGUAGAGAUCGGGAGGAAUACCAGUGGCGAAGGCGGCCUUCUGGACUGACACUGACACUGAGGUGCGAAAGCGUGGGUAGCAAACAGGAUUAGAUACCCCAGUAGUC
RNAcentral lists this ribosomal RNA (465 nucleotides) under Vreelandella stevensii. Its description in RNAcentral is "partial 16S ribosomal RNA". It matches the Rfam family "Bacterial small subunit ribosomal RNA", at positions 338 to 795 of the family's 1533-position model. The record is from RNAcentral. Lineage: Bacteria; Pseudomonadati; Pseudomonadota; Gammaproteobacteria; Oceanospirillales; Halomonadaceae.